AAGUCGUAACAAGGUUUCCGUAGGUGAACCUGCGGAAGGAUCAUUAAUGAAUUUAAAAGGUUGUAGCUGGCUUUUCGAAGCAUGUGCACGCCUUUCACAUUCUGACUCCUACACCUGUGCACUUUUCGUAGGCCGGAUUCGAAUGAAAUCGGCCUAUGUUUUUUUAAUACACCCUUUUGAAAAGUUUGGAAUGUCAUGUUGCGGGUUCGCCCUAAAAAGUGAACUCUAUAAACUUUAUACAACUUUCAACAACGGAUCUCUUGGCUCUC
RNAcentral lists this unclassified non-coding RNA (269 nucleotides) under fungal sp. RNAcentral describes it as "partial internal transcribed spacer region". The stretch from base 1 to 46 matches the Rfam family "Eukaryotic small subunit ribosomal RNA", at positions 1786 to 1831 of the family's 1831-position model. The record is from RNAcentral. Lineage: Eukaryota; Fungi.